UACAGAGGGGGCAAGCGUUGUUCGGAAUUACUGGGCGUAAAGAGCGCGCAGGCGGUCGUUCAAGUCGAGUGUGAAAGCCCCCGGCUCAACUGGGGAGGGUCACUCGAUACUGAUCGACUUGAAGGCAGGAGAGGGAAGCGGAAUUCCCGGUGUAGUGGUGAAAUGCGUAGAUAUCGGGAGGAACACCAGUGGCGAAGGCGGCUUCCUGGCCUGUUCUUGACGCUGAGGCGCGAAAGAUAGGGGAGCAAACGGG
Molecule: ribosomal RNA, 253 nt
Filed under: uncultured bacterium
Lineage: Bacteria
Description: partial 16S ribosomal RNA
Rfam family: Bacterial small subunit ribosomal RNA
Source: RNAcentral